RNAcentral lists this long non-coding RNA (461 nucleotides) under Gallus gallus (chicken). RNAcentral's name for it is "long non-coding RNA NONGGAT004279". The record is from RNAcentral. Lineage: Eukaryota; Metazoa; Chordata; Aves; Galliformes; Phasianidae.
CUUCACUGCUAAUUCCUGUGGCUGAACAACUGCCACAAGUGUUUUCUUUCAAAGGAGAGAAAACAGCACUGUAACUUCAUUGAAAUGGCUGAGAUUUCAACCUUCAUCAGUCUGGAAUCUGAAAAGCUUUAAGAUUUAAGCUGAAGAUCAUGAAUUUUUAGGCACCAUCCUAUUCAGGAGACAUAAUACAUACAUGGCUAGCACUCAGCACCUUGAAGAACUGUGUUCUCUACUGAAACAAUUGGCAGUCUUCCUUCCUCUGUUUACACCAAGUCCAUGAAAGAAGCAAGUGCAUAAAGAGAUAUGUGAGUUUCGCUUCAGAGAGACUCAGAUACUGAUAAUUUGCUACUAAAGGUGGUGUCCCCUGCAAGCAGCACAGUGAAGCCUCUGACCUUAGGACCCAAAGGAGCAGAAGAAGAGUCUACAUAACUGCAAUAAGUGGGGUAGAAAUGAAGAAAUGC